AAUGAACGCUGGCGGCGUGCCUAACACAUGCAAGUCGAGCGCGAACCCUCACUUCGGUGAGGUAGUAGAGCGGCGCACGGGUGAGUAACACGUGAAGAAUCUACCUUCGAAUAUGGGAUAACUGCCCGAAAGGGCUGCUAAUACUAUAUAAGCUCACAGGGUCCUUGGGCCCAGUGAGAAAAGACGGCCUCUGUUUCAUGCUGUUGUUCGAAGAUGACUUCGCGGUCCACUAGCUAGUUGGUGGGGUAAUGGCCCACCAAGGCUACGAUGGGUAGCUGGUCUGAGAGGAUGAUCAGCCACACUGGAACUGAGACACGGUCCAG
This 323-nucleotide ribosomal RNA is filed under the name uncultured bacterium. RNAcentral's name for it is "bacterial SSU rRNA". It matches the Rfam family "Bacterial small subunit ribosomal RNA", at positions 29 to 334 of the family's 1533-position model. The record is from RNAcentral.